RNAcentral lists this ribosomal RNA (1172 nucleotides) under Salmonella enterica. Its description in RNAcentral is "partial 23S ribosomal RNA". It matches the Rfam family "Bacterial large subunit ribosomal RNA", at positions 583 to 1756 of the family's 2925-position model. Lineage: Bacteria; Pseudomonadati; Pseudomonadota; Gammaproteobacteria; Enterobacterales; Enterobacteriaceae. RNAcentral also lists the same sequence under 1 other name. The record is from RNAcentral.
CUUUGGGGUGUGACUGCGUACCUUUUGUAUAAUGGGUCAGCGACUUAUAUUCUGUAGCAAGGUUAACCGUAUAGGGGAGCCGGAGGGAAACCGAGUCUUAACCGGGCGUUAAGUUGCAGGGUAUAGACCCGAAACCCGGUGAUCUAGCCAUGGGCAGGUUGAAGGUUGGGUAACACUAACUGGAGGACCGAACCGACUAAUGUUGAAAAAUUAGCGGAUGACCUGUGGCUGGGGGUGAAAGGCCAAUCAAACCGGGAGAUAGCUGGUUCUCCCCGAAAGCUAUUUAGGUAGCGCCUCGUGAAUUCAUCUCCGGGGGUAGAGCACUGUUUCGGCUAGGGGGCCAUCCCGGCUUACCAACCCGAUGCAAACUGCGAAUACCGGAGAAUGUUAUCACGGGAGACACACGGCGGGUGCUAACGUCCGUCGUGAAGAGGGAAACAACCCAGACCGCCAGCUAAGGUCCCAAAGUCAUGGUUAAGUGGGAAACGAUGUGGGAAGGCCCAGACAGCCAGGAUGUUGGCUUAGAAGCAGCCAUCAUUUAAAGAAAGCGUAAUAGCUCACUGGUCGAGUCGGCCUGCGCGGAAGAUGUAACGGGGCUAAACCAUGCACCGAAGCUGCGGCAGCGACGCUGAUGCGUUGUUGGGUAGGGGAGCGUUCUGUAAGCCUGCGAAGGUGGCCUGUGAGGGUUGCUGGAGGUAUCAGAAGUGCGAAUGCUGACAUAAGUAACGAUAAAGCGGGUGAAAAGCCCGCUCGCCGGAAGACCAAGGGUUCCUGUCCAACGUUAAUCGGGGCAGGGUGAGUCGACCCCUAAGGCGAGGCCGAAAGGCGUAGUCGAUGGGAAACGGGUUAAUAUUCCCGUACUUGGUGUUACUGCGAAGGGGGGACGGAGAAGGCUAUGUUGGCCGGGCGACGGUUGUCCCGGUUUAAGCGUGUAGGUGUGUGUUCCAGGUAAAUCCGGUUCACUUUAACACUGAGGCGUGAUGACGAGGCACUACGGUGCUGAAGCAACAAAUGCCCUGCUUCCAGGAAAAGCCUCUAAGCAUCAGGUAACAUCAAAUCGUACCCCAAACCGACACAGGUGGUCAGGUAGAGAAUACCAAGGCGCUUGAGAGAACUCGGGUGAAGGAACUAGGCAAAAUGGUGCCGUAACUUCGGGAGAAGGCACGCUGACA